UCUAGCCUGAAGUCAGACAAGUGAACCCGCUGAAUUU
Molecule: ribosomal RNA, 37 nt
Filed under: Symbiodinium sp. Sp3
Lineage: Eukaryota; Dinophyceae; Suessiales; Symbiodiniaceae
Description: partial 24S ribosomal RNA
Source: RNAcentral